Molecule: long non-coding RNA, 2464 nt
Organism: Eriocheir sinensis (Chinese mitten crab)
Lineage: Eukaryota; Metazoa; Arthropoda; Malacostraca; Decapoda; Varunidae
Exons: 7
Source: RefSeq, a predicted model, not a curated record
AUAUAUCAAAGCAUUUGUGAUCAGUUUAUGUAUCAUCUAUUUUGGGGGGUUUAUAUCAUGGCACAAAUUUCGCCCGUCGCUGCUACACGGUAAAGCCACAAAUUUGGCCCGUCGCUGCUACACGGUAAAGCCACAAAUUUGGCCCGUUGCUGCUACACGGUAAAGCCACAAAUUUGGCCCGUCGCUGGUACACGGUAAAGCCACAAAUUUGGCAUUCGCUGCUACACGGUAAAGCCACAAAUUUGGCCCGUCGCUGCUGCUGGGUUAAAUUGACCUCUCUUUUGGACACUCCUCUGAGCGCUUUUUGUGGGAGCAGCAAAUAGCAGGCUUUUUUUUCAUUAGUGUUUCUUUUUUUUUGCCCUUGAGCUGCUUCCUCUGCUGUAAAAAAAGAGAAAGUAUAUAAUCCCUGUGAUCACUGCUCCUCAUCCUCACAUGGAAAUACCAGCAACAAGAACAAUGCAACUCACACCAAUCCUUAAUUUAUUCCCUUCCUCACCCUUCCCCGCAGCCAUCGUGCUGCCUCGGCCAGGAAGCACUCGCUGGAGACUCACAAGCUGCUGGGUGAAUCGGAGGGCUUCGGGAACAGCCUUGAGGAAACUGCCGAGAAUCUGAAGCAGCUCUUGUCCAAGUGAUGAUGCUCCCAGCCAGGACUGGGAUGAGGACGUCCCUGUCCACACCCUGCAGCGCAACAAGCACACCACAUGUUGAACACUGUCACAGGUCAAGAUCUUCUCCCCGGACCUGCUGUACCGGUUGAUGUACUUGGCGGCAGUGAGUGACAUCCCCCUGUCCGUGGCCACUGAUAUGCUGGAAGAGUGUGGCCUGGACUACCUCCCCAACACAGCCUGCUCGCAGCAGCAGUAGCGUUGAGGCGGGAUGCAGCGUGCUCUGAGGCGACCCCGGGCAGGAGGCAACAUGUGACCUCGAGCACCAGACCUUUGACCUCUAUUCAGGAGCAAUCGUGUAACUGAUGGAGGCUGGCACAGGAAGUUGCUGAUAUGUAGGCUAUGGCUGACUGGCUGGUGCUGUCUGGUCACUCAGCUCAGCAAGGGACUGGAAGCUGGAACUCUCUCUCUCUCUCUCUCUCUCUCUCUCUCUCUCUCUCUCUCUCUCUCACAAAAAAAAGUAAUGUAAAAGUGUAUAAGGUCCAUUGAAAAGAAGAGAGAGAGCCAUCUCAUCCUCUCUCUCUCUCCCCCCUCAACAUCCAGGCGGCAUCUUGGGAGGGGAGGGGAGGGGAAGAGAAGAGAAGAGAAGGGAAGGGAAGGGAAGAAUACAAUAGCUCACUGGUGGACAGAGGAAAGAAACAAGGAAGAAGAAGAAGAAGAAGAGACUCGUCUCAUCUCGUCUCCCCCAGCAUCUUGAAGGCCUGACUGGUUCCCUCGGCUCAGUGGUCUCGUCUCUGUCUCCCUCCCUGCAAGAGUCUGGCAGAGUUUAGUGCCAAGAAUGUGUGUGUGUGUGUGUGUGUGUGUGUGUGUGUGUGUGUGUGUGUGUGUGUGUGUGUGUGUGUGUGUGUGUGUCUCUCUCUCUCUCUCUCUCUCUCUCUCUCUCUCUCUCUCUCUCUCUCUCUCUCUCUCUCUCUCUCUCUCUCUCAGGCCCCACAGGGUGUCCCCCCCACAGUGUGUUGACAACCCCCACAGACACAUGCCCCACCAGACACAUAAGGAACCCCCCCCCCCCCCUCUCUCUCUCUCUCUGCAAGAAGUGUCAGUUUGCUCAAUAAAUAUACAAGCAAUUUCUGGUGUUUUUUUCGUCCAUUCUGCAAAGUUUACAAAGACACAGACCUUGAUAAAAGUGGAGAUAACAAGGAAACGAAGAGGAUGAGGAAGAGGAAAGAUCAAACUAUUUUUUGGCAUAGGAGGAAAGGAGGAAAGAAAAGGGAGAGAAAUGGAGUUGAACUUGGAGGAGGAAAUGAACAAAACCACUAAAGUUACACUGGAGAAAUACACAGACCUUAAUAAAAGUGGAGAUAGAGGAAUGAAAAGGAGGAGGAGGAAAAGGAAAGAGUAAGCUAUUUUUUGGUGUAGGAGAAAAGGUGGAAGAGGUUGUGGAAAGUGGAGGAAAAUGGACUUGAACUUGGAGGAGGAAAUGAAUGAAACCACCAAAAUUACAUUGGAGAAAUACACAGACCUUGAAAGUGGAGAUAGGAGAGGAAUGAAGAGGAGGAGGAAGAAGCGGAAGACAGGAGGAGGAAGAGGAAGGAUUAAGCAAUUUUUGGGCAUAGGAGGAAAGGAGGAAGAGGUAGAGGAAACAGAGAAAAAUGGAGGAAAGUGUGGAGAGAAAUGACCUGUUCUUGAGGCAGCCCCUGACCUGACGUAGCCUGGGACCUGAGCAUACACAGGGGGUGCGUUGCUUCACUCACCCACCACCUUCAUGCAUUUUCCCCUAACCCAUGAGGUGCGUGGGUGUCCCCCUGGUGGUCACCUGGGCUCACUGGAGGGCUGAGUCUGGUCUCAUCUCGGCUCCU